Molecule: ribosomal RNA, 376 nt
Filed under: uncultured bacterium
Lineage: Bacteria
Description: bacterial SSU rRNA
Rfam family: Bacterial small subunit ribosomal RNA
Source: RNAcentral
UAAUACGUAGGCAGCGAGCGUUGUUCGGAGUUACUGGGCGUAAAGCGUGCGUAGGCGGUUUUCUAAGUCUGGUGUGAAAUCUCCCGGCUCAACUGGGAGGGUGCGCUAGAAACUGGAAGGCUUGGAGUGUGGGAGAGGUAGGCGGAAUUCCUGGUGUAGCGGUGAAAUGCGUAGAUAUCAGGAGGAACACCUGUGGUGUAGACGGCUUACUGGACCAUGACUGACGCUGAGGCACGAAAGCGUGGGGAGCAAACAGGAUUAGAUACCCUGGUAGUCCACGCCCUAAACGAUGCAUACUUGGUGUGGGUAAUUCAUUUUAUCCGUGCCGGAGCUAACGCGUUAAGUAUGCCGCCUGGGGAGUACGGUCGCAAGGCUG